Non-coding RNA from Parelaphostrongylus tenuis, 73 nucleotides. The record is from the annotation of a GenBank genome assembly. Lineage: Eukaryota; Metazoa; Nematoda; Chromadorea; Rhabditida; Metastrongylidae.
GCCUUGGUGGAUUAGUGGUAUAACACGCGUCUCCGGUAUGGAUGAAACGCGGGUUCCAUUCCCGCCUGAGGCC